CAUGAAGAAAAACAGAAAUGAAAGGGAAAAAAUAGGCAAAUCCACAACUAUACUCAAAGACUUCAACAUCCCUUGCUCAGUAAUCUGUAGAACAAGUAGAUGAAAAAUCAUCAGGGACAUAUAAGACCUAAACAACAAACAAAUUAACCUAAUUGAUAUUUUUAGAGCACUCUCCCCUUCAAUAGCAGAAUACAUAUUUUUUUCAAUGGAACACAUAGAAAGCAUUUGCCAAGAAAGAUCAUGUUCUGGGUCAUGGAACAUAUAUUAACAAAUGUCAAAUAAUUGAAAUAAUAAAAAGUAUAUAUUUUAACUAUAAAAAUUUUUACUAGAAAUCCAAUAACAAAAUGAUGCCUGACAAUAACAAUGGCUAGUAAGAAUAGAGAAUAACUAGAACUGCAUUCAUAGCUGGUGGGAAUGUACAAUGAUAGAACCCUUUUAGAAAAUAGUUUGGCAUUUUCUUCUAAAGUUUUCAAUAUACACUUAACCAUAAGAACAAGAAUCUCACAUGUACAUAUUUACUCAAGAAAAAUAAAAACUUACGUUUACAUAUAAACUGAUAUGCAAAUACAUCAUGACUUUUUCCACCCAUGUCAUUCAACUGAUAAAUGGAUAAAUAAACAAUAGGAUACUCUCUGCAUUAAAAAAGAACAACUGAUUCAUGCAAGGAGAUGGAGAAAUCACAAACGUAUGAUGCAAAGUGAAGGGAGCCAGACUGAAAAGGCUACCUAGUUCAAUUUCAUUGACUGGCAUGUCAAUGAAAGGGAAAAGUUUAGAACUAGUUUCAGAGCAGUCCUUGCAAGGAGUUGAAGACAACUUACAAAAAAACAGCAAAAAUGAAUUUUAGGCAGUGAUAGAACUGUUCUUUGUCUUAAUUGUGGAGAUAGUUUACUUGUCUACAUUACAUCUAAACUCAGUUUGUGUUGUGUUUUGUUGUUUUUGUUUUUUGGUAGUGAGGAUUGAACCCAGCGGUGCUUAACCACUGAGCCACAUCACUAGCCCCUAUUUUUAAAUAUUUUAUUUAGAGACAGGGUCUCACUGAAUUGCUAAGUGCCUUGCUAAGUUUGCUGAGGCUGGCUUUGAACUCGAGAUCCUCCUGCCUCAGCCUCCCAAGCUGCUGGGACUAUAGGAGUGAGCCAUGUACCUGGCUAAACUCAGUUUUAUCAUAUGUAUGUAUAUCAUACAAAUUUAUGCAAUUCAUUUUUUGUAAGUUUUUAAAAAACAUUUUUUAGUUGCAGAUGGACACAACAUCUUUUAUUUAUUUAUUUAUUUUUAUGUGGUGCUGAGGACCGAACCCAGUGCAUCCAUAUGUCAGAGGCAAGUGCUCUACUGCUGAGCUAUAUAUAACCCAGCCCCUGUUUGUAAAUUUUAAAAAGUAAAUUCUAAUAUUUUUUAAAAUUCUGAUAUAAUGACUUCUCAGGUCACUUAAGAGGUGUUUUUUCCCCAUGUUUUCUGCCAUGGUCAUUCAUCAAAAUAUCAAUCAAAACCAAUUAAGCCUUGUUUAUUAAAUCUGGGUUAUUUGUGACAGGAGAGGCAUCGAUAAGCAUCAAAAGCCAGUGUUAAUCCUAAAGCACAUUUUGAGCUUUUCUUUACAACCUCUGAACUGAGACUCGAAACCUCUUUCCAAAACAGCCAGAGAGGCUUGAUUAAGUUUCAGCAUCAUUUCCAGACCUCCCAAGGUGGAGCCAUUAAUAAUUAGUGAAAUGGCCCCAAAAAAUAAUGCACUGGAAGGAAUAUGAUUUCAAAAAAUCUGCUGUGACAUAAAUUUCCAAAUGAUUGAGAAUUGAAUAAAAAACCCUUAUCUCCACCUUCCCUGCCUCACAUCCUACCAUAGUUCUGAAGCAGCAAUCAAAUCUGCACCAAUGAUCUCGUGAUAGCAGCCCUGAAGAGGUCAGGGUGAGGCUGGUUGGGUCUAGAGUGUCAACUGGCACCUAUAAAUCUACACAGUCAGUCAAGACUAUCUGUACUCAGAGCCUCUGACAACCAGUCUAGUUUAGACUUGUUCCCAAGAAACACUGGUGAUUAUUUUUAUCUCUUAAUGUUAUAGUUUAACUAAUUCACUAAUGAUUAAGACAAUUUUAAAGGCUGAGCAGGCCCCACUAGCUAAAUGGCUGGUGCAUUUUAGUUAACAUGCAAAGGAUGUCAGCUGCCUGCAGUUAGCUAAUAAUGCAUUAUAAUUAAUAAUACUUGGGCAAAGUGUCCUGUCAGCAGGAGCCCUAAGGUUGUUUUCCUAAUGCACCAAGAUGAUCUCCACCAGACCUCUUCUGUUUCAUUAAAUAAGUAGCUGGUGCUGUUCCUACUCUGAUUCUUUUAAUUCUAAAAGUAAUUUAGGUCCUAAUUCCCAAAACUCACAGGACUUGUUUUCAAUAGCAUUUUCUUUUUUUUUUCACCAUAAUUUGAUAAGCAUUAUUUUUAUUGUCCAUUGAAAUCCUUUAAAGCAUUAAAAAGAGGCAAAGUCAAGAUUGUAAUUUCUCUGGAGUUGACUGUAUAUGGGGUCAUGCUUAGUAGUGUGUUUUAGCUAAAUUAUCACUGAUGUUAACAGGUCUCCUCUCCUUUAUUCUCCUGUGUAUGUCUGUUCAUUUUUAAGAAAUAUGAUUGUUAGCACACUUAUUCUAUGUGUUUACAAAACAAAUUUCUAUUUUGAUGGUAACACUGGAUAAGACUUAUGUGUAAUUACACAUCUGUCUUUUGUAUAAUAAUACAUAGUUCUUGUGUUUAUAGACUUUCAAAAUGCAUGUAUGAUAGUACAUAACAGUAUAAAAGUGUUGAACCAUGAAAGUAAAAUUUAGGAAUCUAGAUUAUCUUGAGGAAUUCAACCAAAUAUUCAGUAGUAAGCUUGUAGCAAUACACAGAGUAAACUAUAAAAAUAAUUAUAAAAUGCAUGAAUUAAAACAAUAGGAUGAGCAUUAAACUACAAGUAUUGAUUCACAUGUGCAUUCUAUAAUUGUUCAAAAAUAGAUUUUGGUUAUAAGAUAAUAAAGAGAAACAAAUUUUCCAGGACUAGGAUUGAUUAUGAGGACUACAAUAAUGAUGUAGAAAAUGCAAUUAACUAAGGUGUCCAAAGUUUACAAAGUACAUGACUGUAGAAAAUUACUUGACUUUUUUUUUUUGAGCCUUAGUUGAUUUAUUUGCCAAAUCAAGGACAUAUUUUCCUAGAAGGGUUUCAGUGCUUUUCCUUUUUUCAUUACUAUGUAAUCUACUGGAGACUACCUUGGGUAAAUCCUUUUCUAAUAAUAAAGGAGCAUUUUUUUUAGUCACAUGAUUUAUUACUUUCUUGUAUUGACUGACAUGUGGGAUGCUG
RNAcentral lists this long non-coding RNA (3298 nucleotides) under Marmota monax (woodchuck). Lineage: Eukaryota; Metazoa; Chordata; Mammalia; Rodentia; Sciuridae. The record is from RNAcentral.